UCGAUGCACACUGCGUGGAAAUAUGGCC
This 28-nucleotide small RNA is filed under the name Bombyx mori (domestic silkworm). RNAcentral's name for it is "ovarian small RNA-28479". The record is from RNAcentral. Lineage: Eukaryota; Metazoa; Arthropoda; Insecta; Lepidoptera; Bombycidae.